CAGACUAUUUGGCAUUUGAAGAAGCAGCAGCACAUCUCAGCCCUUCUGUUACUUUUUAUGCUACAUUUGACAGAGUGGUUGCAAAACACCUCAAAUUAACAACAGUUGGUGAGAUUCAAUUAGUCAAACCAUUUAGUAAAACACCAAUCCCAUGUCCACAAAAUCCUGCAACUGCCGCUGAUAUAGAAGCUUUUGUGAAUUCCAAUGAAGGCUCUAUUUUAUCCAAGAUUAAUGAACAUAAUCUUUAUGAUCCAAAACUGUUAGAUCCAAACAGAUAUUUAGUCCUAGCUGUUGG
This is a non-coding RNA of Parasteatoda tepidariorum (common house spider), 295 nucleotides long. The record is from RefSeq and is a predicted model, not a curated record. Lineage: Eukaryota; Metazoa; Arthropoda; Arachnida; Araneae; Theridiidae.